This 497-nucleotide ribosomal RNA is filed under the name uncultured bacterium. RNAcentral describes it as "partial 16S ribosomal RNA". It matches the Rfam family "Bacterial small subunit ribosomal RNA", at positions 28 to 507 of the family's 1533-position model. The record is from RNAcentral.
GACGAACGCUGGCGGCGUGCCUAAUACAUGCAAGCUGAGCGCUGAAGGUUGGUACUUGUACCAACUGGAUGAGCAGCGAACGGGUGAGUAACGCGUGGGGAAUCUGCCUUUGAGCAGGGGACAACAUUUGGAAACGAAUGCUAAUACCGCAUAAAAACUUUAAACACAAGUUUUAAGUUUGAAAGAUGCAAUUGCAUCACUCAAAGAUGAUCCCGCGUUGUAUUAGCUAGUUGGUGAGGUAAAGGCUCACCAAGGCGAUGAUACAUAGCCGACCUGAGAGGGUGAUCGGCCACAUUGGGACUGAGACACGGCCCAAACUCCUACGGGAGGCAGCAGUAGGGAAUCUUCGGCAAUGGACGAAAGUCUGACCGAGCAACGCCGCGUGAGUGAAGAAGGGUGUCGGAUCGUAAAACUCUGUUGGUAGAGAAGAACGUUGGUGAGAGUGGAAAGCUCACCAAGUGACGGUAACUACCCAGAAAGGGACGGCUAACUACGUG